Molecule: ribosomal RNA, 710 nt
Filed under: uncultured bacterium
Lineage: Bacteria
Description: bacterial SSU rRNA
Rfam family: Bacterial small subunit ribosomal RNA
Source: RNAcentral
AGCGGCGGACGGGUGAGUAACGCGUGGGUAACCUGCCCUGUACACACGGAUAACAUACCGAAAGGUAUGCUAAUACGAGAUAAUAUGCUUUUAUCGCAUGGUAGAAGUAUCAAAGCUCCGGCGGUACAGGAUGGACCCGCGUCUGAUUAGCUAGUUGGUAAGGUAACGGCUUACCAAGGCGACGAUCAGUAGCCGACCUGAGAGGGUGAUCGGCCACAUUGGAACUGAGACACGGUCCAAACUCCUACGGGAGGCAGCAGUGGGGAAUAUUGCACAAUGGGCGAAAGCCUGAUGCAGCAACGCCGCGUGAGCGAUGAAGGCCUUCGGGUCGUAAAGCUCUGUCCUCAAGGAAGAUAAUGACGGUACUUGAGGAGGAAGCCCCGGCUAACUACGUGCCAGCAGCCGCGGUAAUACGUAGGGGGCUAGCGUUAUCCGGAAUUACUGGGCGUAAUGGGUGCGUAGGUGGUUUCUUAAGUCAGAGGUGAAAGGCUACGGCUCAACCGUAGUAAGCCUUUGAAACUGGGGAACUUGAGUGCAGGAGAGGAGAGUGGAAUUCCUAGUGUAGCGGUGAAAUGCGUAGAUAUUAGGAGGAACACCAGUUGCGAAGGCGGCUCUCUGGACUGUAACUGACACUGAGGCACGAAAGCGUGGGGAGCGAACAGGAUUAGAUACCCUGGUAGUCCACGCCGUAAACGAUGAGUACUAGCUGU